AAAACUAUGCUUUCAGAGAUGGUUUCUUCAGUUGUUGAUUUGCGAAAUGUGUUUCUAGAGAGUUUGGUCUCGCUGCCCUUGAUGAAGAGUUGAGAUGUUUCCUUCAGAGCAGGACGCUGGAGGUAAGACUUUGUUUGUUCUUUACUGUUCAUGAUUGUCCAGAGCUUUUCAGUGAGACUCUGAAGGAGGAAACAUGAUCUGAGUGGA
RNAcentral lists this small nucleolar RNA (207 nucleotides) under Mola mola (ocean sunfish). Its description in RNAcentral is "Small nucleolar RNA U3 (ENSMMOG00000014758.1)". It matches the Rfam family "Small nucleolar RNA U3". Rfam says of the family: Small nucleolar RNAs (snoRNAs) are involved in the processing and modification of rRNA in the nucleolus. Lineage: Eukaryota; Metazoa; Chordata; Actinopteri; Tetraodontiformes; Molidae. The record is from Rfam by way of RNAcentral.